ACAUACUGAUUCAUUGGCGGUUCGUCCCGCUGCAGGCGGGACGUUAAAAGGGAAUCCGGUGACCUGUCCCACAUAGGGAAUAGGUAGUCCGGAGCAGUCCCCGCUGCUGUAAGCUCCUGAUUAACCCGUAUUUCUCACUACUAUUAAUUACUUGGUGAGGAACCGGGCCAACGCUUUCAAUCCUUCGAUACCACUGUCCCGCUACUAUCGGGACGGGAAGGUUGUUGAAAGUGGAGCAAGCCAGAAGACCUGCCGGCAAUGAUGAUGGAAA
RNAcentral lists this non-coding RNA (271 nucleotides) under Fodinibius roseus. The record is from RNAcentral. Lineage: Bacteria; Pseudomonadati; Balneolota; Balneolia; Balneolales; Balneolaceae.